Prinia subflava (tawny-flanked prinia) is the source of this 3827-nucleotide long non-coding RNA. RefSeq lists it as uncharacterized. The record is from RefSeq and is a predicted model, not a curated record. The transcript is spliced from 3 exons. Lineage: Eukaryota; Metazoa; Chordata; Aves; Passeriformes; Cisticolidae.
CUGAUUCCUGGUGUAAAAAUAAAUUUAAAAAUUGACACUUCCUGUGAAAGAGAGGUGAUACAUACACACAGCAUUUUGUAACUGUGGAGUCUCUUACAGAACACCUGGUAGUUGUGGAAAUGUACUUCAGAAAAUAGAUUUUCCAAUGCUUUCUUGAGUGAACAGCCUAUCAAAAGCUUGCUAUUAAAAGGAAAUAUCUUUAAAAGUUUUCAUUGUAUUCUCAGCUGUGUUAAACCAAAUUAUUAAGAGAGGAUUUAUGCACUCUGGUACCUGAACAAAGUAAUUUGUAUUGGGAUUGUUCAAUGUGCUGACAGAACUGGACGUCAUUAUUUCAUUACACUCGUAUUUCUUGUUCCUGGCAAGUUCCUGAAGGACAUGAGAUUUUAGAUGUUGUCACACUCUGGGACAGUCUCACCUAACCUGGAAACCAGCAAGAUAAAAAAGGAGGAAAUGGCCUGUAAAGAACAAAGUUCUUUGGGAUUUUUCACGAACUGGUUGGGGAUUUCUUGAAAAGGAACUGAAUUAAUGACUGAUUGUGGAGGAAGGAGUGAAAAUAAUGAGGUGUCAUUAAUUUUUCAAAAUUGUCAACACUACAGGUGAUAACUGCAAGCAAUAUAUUGCUUUGUCUUGAAAGCACAUGUCAAAAGCUGUUUUAGAUGUCAUUGUACCAUAACAGCUGAGCCAAAAUACAGUGUGCUUAUAUAUGAAUCUGUUAAUCUCAUCUAAUUUAAUGCACUGAGAAAUCAAGUCUAACUUUUUUGUUUGCUUUCUCUGUUGGGGUUAAAUGAGCAAGCAAAUCUUUGACUUUUUAGUGAAAGAAAGUCUGUCUUACUUUAAGCAUUAAGAUAAAAUAGCAAUGAAUUAAAAGAUGGUUUUAAACUAUUUUUUUAGUAGCUCACGGACUGUUAUAGUAUGGGCCAUGAUUUAUUUAUUUAUUUUUUAGUGGGCCACCUGUUCAUUGCUGAAUAGCAAGAAAACAGGAGAGGCAAAAAUACCAGAAAGUAACUGAGAAAAGUCUUAUACUGCAUCUUGGUGGGUGGCAUGUGAAAAAUACAAGUUCUUCACUGACUUUUAGACUGUGUGUACAUUAUUGUAGCAGCGGAAGAAUAGCUUUGGAGCUAAGAAGUUAGUACAGAGGAUAUUUUGGGGGCUUAUAUUGGAUGGGGUUUUUUCAUCUGUGCCCUUUCUUUUUGAUAUAAAGAUCAAAAUUAAAAGUCUGUAAUAUGUUUAAGACAAAUUGUGCUAGAGAUAAUGAUGGUUUUACAGAACAAUUUCUAUAGGCCAUUAGGCUGUAGUGUUGCUCUUUCAUAAUUCCUAUUACUACAAUGCAUUGUUUAGUUCAUGCACACCAUGUUUAUUGCCUAAACAAAAAUCCAGAGCAUUUGAAAAGCUCAUUUUAUAGAGGCUUUGGAAAAAUCUAAUUAUAUGAGAUAAUGUGUUACGGUAAUGCAAAAGCUUAAGUAUAAAAUACAUUCACUUGUAACCUGAGAAGUGCCCAGACUGCUUUCUGUUAAAUGUUUUCUGUUGGAAAUUACUGGCAUUAAAAUCUCAGCAGUUUUUUUCUAAUGAGAACAAACCCUUUAAACAAUGCUUUUUAAUAUGAUUUUGCUUAAAGUCUUGACAAAAUCUAAUUUCAUAAGUUACAAUGUUCAAGAUGCUUUGUUUUCAUAUGAUAUCACCAGAGAAGUGGUCUGAGAAGUAGAAGUAAGAUGUACCUCUUCCAGAUUUGCCUGACUUCUUUGUCUCUGCUGAUAUUUUAGGGUAUUUGGAACUUAAUAGGAUAUGAUCUUAAUUUCUUUAUGGUUGAGGGACACUGAGCAAAAUUUGAGAAAUAAAUUUUAGAAAAUAAAGCCCACACAAGAUGUGUUCAGGGCCUGGACCUCUGAAGCCCAGUGAGCUUUAUAUGUAUUCAUGUGAAAAUACAGCUUUUAUGCUUUAAAAAAAUGUGCAAAACUCUUAAAAUCUGCAAAAACUGAGGGGAGAGUUUUCUUUGCGAUACUUCAAUAUACCAUAAGACUUCUAGCCCUCAAACUCUACUGAAAUGGUAAAUGCUUUUUCCAUAGAACCUUGUGAUUUUUUCAGAAUUACUGGAAAGAAAACUCAAUAGCUUUCUAGCAGUUUGACAGAAGCUCUGCAUUCAGGGCAAUAUUCUGUUUCCCAAGUGGAUAUUUUAGGAUGUCCAGCCCUAAUGAAGGUAGUCAGUACAAGUGUGGAAGGGCAGAACGCACUCUGAGCAUCCUCAUUAAACUGAGUUCCAAGAGGAAGACAAAGAAUGUUCUGUAAUUCAGAUAUUUUCAGUUUUGAGCAAACGCUUUGUAUCUUAGUGCUGGCAGUAUUAGAGGCAAUUCUGAAUGUGUGCAGAAAGGAAGUGAUGGACACCUGCAGUUCCUUCCACUGUUGAAAGGAAUUUUUCACAUAAAUAUUUUAUUCUGAGUACCUAUACUUAAAAAUUACAAUUAAAUCUCUGAGAGACUUUGGAGAUAUCCUACCUUCCAGCUGUCAGAAUAUUCAGAUCAUUUGGUUUAAAGUGUCUCAGAUUCUGAAGUCACAGGUUUUUGAAUAGUGAGAGAAGCCCAUGAGCUUCAUUGUGUAAUUUGGGUUGUAAGUUGGGUCUCUUCUCAUUCAGGCUUGAAAGUUCUGGUCUACUGUCACCUCAAUCCAUAUUUAAUGACCUUAUAGAUCUAACCUAAUAAUAGAAGUAGAGUCCGCUUUUUCUUCACCUGGUAUCUGCCGCUAAAGUAAACUUUCACAAUUCAGAUGGGUAUAGGUAAAUAAUGAUUAACUGCCAAAUACGGAUAUAAACAUCUGUAUUUAGAUGCUGGUAAUUGAGCAUGAUCAUGUUUAAACAUUGUGCCUAGAAUAUUUGGUGUGCAAGUAUGGGAAACCCUUAUGACUAUCAGGAAAGACCUACCUCAUGAGUAAGACUGUUGAGUAAUCUAAGGUAAAAAUAAUUGAUAUGAAUCUUAAUUAUUGAAAAAAACCCCAUCCCAAACCAACACAACAGUCAAUCUCCUGAGAAAUGCAUAAGCAAAAACAGCAAUGUGGCAAAAAUUCUUUAAUUCUAACCUCUAUUGUUUAUUGUGAAUACAUGAUUGCAAACUAAUUGUUUACAACCACAUAAGCUGUGAUAAUUGAACUAUUUUUAAAAGCUAUUCUAAUAGAAAUUUGUUAGCAUUAUUAUGCUCAGGAAAAGAGAGAAAGAUAUUGAGACUCAGUUUCUCUUCUUUAGUUCCUCUUCCUAUAGAUAGGAAAGAGAACCAACAAAUGAAAUUUAGAACCAUGUCAGGUCUGGUUCCUGAGCAAGGAAAUCCUCAUUAACUUGACCAUUUCUCAUGUCAUGAAUGAGUCAUUGAUUAAUUCAAAAGAACACCAUAAAAUGGUACUUGUUCUGUAUGUAGGGAUUGUUCUGUAUGCAUACAUCUGCAGAUGGGGAGAACAUCAGGGUGUAGCAGAAGAACUAAAGGGGGCCCCUCAGGGUGGCCCAUUCUUCCCGGUGAACCACAGAAGUUCUACCAGCCUUUCUGUGAUUUUUAACAUCUGGUAGGAAACGCAUUGCAUAGGAGGAAGGUCAGAAAAAGAAAUUGAUGAUCCCAACUUGAAAGACUAAAUUGAGGCAGAUCACCCUAUGAUGAGCUCACGCUGUGUAUCAUCAUUUGCCUCCCAGAAAGCACCAACAAUAAGAGGAUCAGAAGAAGCCUGCGAAAAGGAUUACAUUGCAUUCAUUUUUUUCUAUGAAAUUGUCCUUAUGUUGUAAACGGUUCUAAAGAAAAUGCUGUCAUCCAAAUGCAAUAAGAUGAAGAACUUACAAUAAAAGUAUAUAAAAUGUA